This 432-nucleotide ribosomal RNA is filed under the name uncultured eukaryote. Its description in RNAcentral is "eukaryotic LSU rRNA". It matches the Rfam family "Eukaryotic large subunit ribosomal RNA", at positions 970 to 1390 of the family's 3401-position model. The record is from RNAcentral.
CCCUCAGGAUAGCUGGAACUUAUGAAGAAGUAGUUUUAUCAGGUAAAGCGAAUGAUUAGAGGCUUUGGGGAAGAAACUUCCUCGACCUAUUCUCAAACUUUUAAAUAGGUAAGAUUUUGAAGGAUACUUAGGUGAUCUUUCAAUAUUUUGAAUAUAAAGUUCUUAGUGGGCCAUUUUUGGUAAGCAGAACUGGCGAUGUGGGAUGAACCGAACGUUAAGUUAAAGUGCCAAAUAAUACGCUCAUGAGAUACCAUAAAAGGUGUUGGUUCAUUUUGACAGCAGGACGGUGGCCAUGGAAGUCGGAACCCGCUAAGGAGUGUGUAACAACUCACCUGCCGAAUGAACUAGCCCUGAAAAUGGAUGGCGCUUAAGCGUAUAACUUAUACUUAACCCCUUAUCUGAAUUAUUAUAGCGGGUAAGGAGUAGGAGGGC